This 592-nucleotide ribosomal RNA is filed under the name Xenuroturris legitima. RNAcentral's name for it is "partial 12S ribosomal RNA". It matches the Rfam family "Microsporidia small subunit ribosomal RNA", at positions 391 to 1205 of the family's 1311-position model. Lineage: Eukaryota; Metazoa; Mollusca; Gastropoda; Neogastropoda; Turridae. The record is from RNAcentral.
UGCCAGCAGCCGCGGUUAGACCGAGAAAUUAAGUCAUAUUAAGAAUGGUAAAAAGACAGUUAGACAUAGUAUUAUUAAUCUAAAGUUUAUUUGAUUUUCUUAUAAAAAAGUAAAAUUUGUAUAUGAGAAUAUAAUUUAGUUAAAAACUGUAAAGUUGAAUCUGUGAUAUCCUGGAGGGAAACUGGGAUUAGAUACCCCACUAUUCCUGGAUGUAAAUCAAAUCUAAAUUUACCAGAGUACUAUGAAUAAUAUAAAAUUUAAAACUCAAAGGACUUGGCGGUGUUUUAGACCAUUUAGGGGAACCUGUCUCAUAAUCGAUAGUCCACGUCAUACCUAACCUUUUUUUGUCUUCAGUUGUAUAUCGUUGUCGUCAGGUAACUUUUUAGAAACUAGAAGUUAGCUAAAAAUAGUAAAUUUAAACGUCAAAUCAAGGUGCAGUUAAUAAAAAGGGUGUAGAUGGGUUACAAUUAUUUUAGUUAUAAUUACGGAAAAUCAUAGGAAUCAGUGAUUCGAAGGAGGACUUAAAAGUAAAUUAGAUUAUAUAAAUAAUUUGAAUAAGGCUCUGAAAUGUGCACACAUCGCCCGUCACUCU